CAGCCGCCACGGUAAUACGAAGGGUGCAAGCGUUACUCGGAAUUACUGGGCGUAAAGCGUGCGUAGGUGGUGGUUUAAGUCCGUUGUGAAAGCCCUGGGCUCAACCUGGGAAUUGCAGUGGAUACUGGGUCACUAGAGUGUGGUAAAGGAUAGUGGAAUUUCCGGUGUAGCAGUGAAAUGCGUAGAGAUCGGAAGGAACAUCUGUGGCGAAGGCGACUAUCUGGGCCAACACUGACACUGAGGCACGAAAGCGUGGGGAGCAAACAGGAUUAGAUACCCCUGUAGUCCCUGUCUCUUAUAC
This 301-nucleotide ribosomal RNA is filed under the name uncultured bacterium. RNAcentral describes it as "partial 16S ribosomal RNA". It matches the Rfam family "Bacterial small subunit ribosomal RNA", at positions 509 to 807 of the family's 1533-position model. The record is from RNAcentral.